ACGGAGUUCUUGAGGAAUGCGGCUUCGGCCAAAUGACUUUUGAACUUAGUGGCGGACGGGUGAGUAACGCGUGAGCAACCUGCCUUUCAGAGGGGGAUAACAUUUGGAAACAGAUGCUAAUACCGCAUAAGAUUACAGUACCGCAUGAUACAGUGAUCAAAGGAGCAAUCCGCUGAAAGAUGGGCUCGCGUCCGAUUAGAUAGUUGGUGAGGUAACGGCUCACCAAGUCGACGAUCGGUAGCCGGACUGAGAGGUUGAACGGCCACAUUGGGACUGAGACACGGCCCAGACUCCUACGGGAGGCAGCAGUGGGGAAUAUUGCACAAUGGGCGAAAGCCUGAUGCAGCAACGCCGCGUGAGGGAAGACGGUUUUCGGAUUGUAAACCUCUGUUUUCGGUGACGAAUAAAUGACGGUAACCGAGUAGGAAGCCACGGCUAACUACGUGCCAGCAGCCGCGGUAAUACGUAGGUGGCAAGCGUUAUCCGGAAUUACUGGGUGUAAAGGGAGCGCAGGCGGGAUAGCAAGUCAGCUGUGAAAACUAUGGGCUCAACCCAUAAACUGCAGUUGAAACUGUUAUUCUUGAGUGGAGUAGAGGCAAGCGGAAUUCCGAGUGUAGCGGUGAAAUGCGUAGAUAUUCGGAGGAACACCAGUGGCGAAGGCGGCUUGCUGGGCUCUAACUGACGCUGAAGGC
Molecule: ribosomal RNA, 692 nt
Filed under: uncultured bacterium
Lineage: Bacteria
Description: bacterial SSU rRNA
Rfam family: Bacterial small subunit ribosomal RNA
Source: RNAcentral